GUUGGCUGCACUGAGGGUGGGUGUUGUAGUGUGCUAAAGGAAGAUGGCAGUGCUGUGUGGUGCUGCCCAUAGGAAACUCAGAGUGAAGCAAUAAUUUACUUGAUGAACAUGAAAAAAGCUACGCCCACGUCUGAGGUGGAACCACAGCUGUCUCUAUAUUUAAAGUAUAUGUGAUUGCAAGUGGAUCCAUUCUGCCAUGAACAAGCACAAUGGGGUAUCAGAGAGCAAGAAGUUGCUCAGCUGUGGCUGAGUGACUCACAAGAGCUGGGAUAAAAAGUUCCAGACCAGAAGGGGUUGUGGCAAAUUGAGCUGACUUGGAAAAAUGGAAGAUAUUUUUAUGGAUGGAAUGAAGAGCUUCUGCCCAACUUCAGCAAAGCAGGUGAUGCAGAGAUUGAUGAAACAACUGAAAGAUGGAUAAAGUGUGAUUCAAGGAGAAACCUGUACUGAUAGGAAAUUACUGGUGUUCUGCAGUGUUCAUCUUAUUUACUUUUGUCAUUCAACAGUCUUGGCACACUGAAUUAUGCUAUGUUACGAGGUUAGGAGGCAAUGCUAACAUGACAGAGGUGCAGGUUGUUGUACAAGAGUUAGACUGGAGCAUCUGAAACAGGAUCACUUUUUAUACAUUCCCAGUGCAAGGCUAUAGUUAAGGGAAUCUGUUCUGCUGAGGGCAUUGGAAGAGAAACCAGGGGCAGCUGGUCACCAGAAAAUGAGCAUGAAGAUAAUUGAUUAUAUAAUGUCUCAGUGCUGUUGUGGAGCACCUGACAUCCACUUGUGGAAUAUGUGUAUGCUUCUGGUGAAAUCUUCCCAGCAAAAGGUGUGGAAAUAUUUCUGCUGUUUAAAGGAUGUGAAUUACGCCUUGUCUUGAGUACCAUCUGUAGUUCUGAUUGCUCAGCUUCAAAAUAAAUUAAACCAGUUAAAGGAUUACAGUACACUGCCAGUGCCUAAAUUGGCCUGCAAGAGAGCUGGAGGACUUUGUAGAAGGACCUGUAAUGACAGGACAAAAAGUGAUAGUUUUGAAGUGAAAGAGGGUAGAUGUAGAUUAGAUAUAAGGAAGGAAUUCUUCACUGUGAGGGUGGUGAGACACUGGCACAGGUUGCCCAGAGAAAUUGUGGAUGCCCCGUCACUGGAAGUGUUCAAGGCCAGGUUGCAUGGGGUUUUGAUCAACCUGGCCUGAAGAAAGGUGUCCCUACCUGUGUCAGAGGGGUUGAAACUAGAUGAUCUUUCAGGUCUCUUCUGACCCAAACCACUCUGUUUUAUUAUUAUUGGGAUGAUUGUGGAAAUUGAAAGCAUUCUUAUCAGAAAAUACUUAGAAAACUGUGUUUUUUCUAGCAAAGUAAGUCUGAUUUGAGAAAGUAUGUAAUUGCUCUUAUAAAUGCAUCAGGGAGGUUCAAGAACUGUUUCAGAUGAAGUACGGUGCUGGUGCAAGAGGAGAUGGAUAUAAAGUAGCCUUGAAUAAAUUUAUAUGGGAAUUAAUCAGAUGCUUAAAAUGUCAGAAAAGAGCUUCAGAAACUGAAUUUCUGAAGGAGUAUUGGGAGUUAAAUUUAGUCCAUUUACAAAAGAAAGGAGUUCAUUUGAAGAAGAGAUUAUAUCACAUAAUACUUAUGGUUGCUCAGGAUUGGGUUCCCUUUGAUAGCCAAGAAGAUGCCGUGCAGUAUCAUAAGCUCCCUCCUGGUGUAUGACUACAUUCCCAUAUUGUGAUUCUGACAUCUCAAUAAUUCUGAUGGGGAGGAAGGAAAAGAGUGAUCACUAGCACAAGUUUCUAUUAGUACUGGCCUCCAAACCUGAGUGUCAAUAAGUAAUAACAGAUUCAGGUUUUGGGGGAAAUCUUGAACUACGCCUUUGCCAGCAUGUCCUAGAACUCUGAUUUUAAUGGUUGACAUACCUAUAGCAUUAGCAUUUGCUGACAUUGUUUAGUUAUCUGGAAUCACACUCAAUUCCAGGUUAAACACUAAUAAAAAUAAUAUAAAAACCUUGUAAAAUCUCAGAUAGCUGAGAAGGUCACAAAAGUUUCUGCACAUCUGCUUUACAGUACAAGUAUCAAAUACCUGGCUGUCAAAUUUUUCUUGCUUUCAAAAGUGACAACUACCCAGCUGACACAACUUUAGAAGUUCUGGGUUGAAGUUCCAGCACACCCAUAGGUGAUGAGUGCAAAUUCCACAUUUUCUCUCUAUUGUACUCUCUUUCCAGCCACAUUUCUUAGGGUCUUUAGCCAAAGCAGACUUCUCCUUUGGCUUUACUGAAAAUGUCAUGUUUGUGGUCUUUACCCCUUUGGUUGUGAAAAAACCAAAUGUCCUUUAGAACAGCUAAGCACAGUUUUCUACCUGCUUGGGAAACCCCAGGUUUCCCAAUCUCCUCCUAUGCUGGAGAUCAAUAAAUUAGGAGUGACUUGUUAGCAUAUAAUAGGAAAUAAAGCUAUUUGCUACCACAGGAGAUUACAUUAAUGCUUUGGCUCCAAAAUACACAGAAAACUAUUUUUUUGCAUAAAUAUCUUCACUGCCAACAAUUUCUUGAACAUGCAGCUGGAUGGGAUUUGAACACUGCUAUUUUGAUCAAGACAAUGUGACAACACCUUUGAGCUAAUAAUGUAUUUGGGGGGAAUCUCAGCGCCUGAGAGUUUUAAUGAAAAAGAAAAAAAGUGUUAUAAACUUCUUUUGUAUUUAAGUUAUUAAAUAUGUUAAAGAUGUUUUUGAUUACUGUCUAUGUCAGAUAGAAAUGAAUGGAUAUUUGUUAUUUAAAUAAAACUUUGUAAUAACUCUCAAGUUCUGUAGACACAGAGAAAACAAUCCAUUUCACUGUAAAAAAUGUAAACCUCCUUUGGCUUGAGUACUGGUUUAAUGCUACUUUUUCUACCUAAAAUAUAACUUAUCUAUUCAAAACUGUGAAGAACUGGAUCUACUACAAGUGUUACUGCAUAUAGAAACUUUAAGAAGUCAGUAUUUUCAGGAUACAGGAAACUAGAACCUUAAGGAGGGAGUUUGAUUUUGUGCUAUUUGCUUUCUACCUUAUGCUCUGAAGAGUCCAACUGGAGUUAUCCUGUGUAUCCAUCCAUCCAUCUAUCCAUCAGGUACUUUCAAACUGCUUUGCUCCAGAGAAGCCUGGUUUCAUUUGGCAUUUGUUUUACUUUCAAAUUUG
This is a long non-coding RNA of Zonotrichia leucophrys gambelii, 3132 nucleotides long. RefSeq lists it as uncharacterized. The transcript has 3 exons. The record is from RefSeq and is a predicted model, not a curated record. Lineage: Eukaryota; Metazoa; Chordata; Aves; Passeriformes; Passerellidae.